CAUGUAGCUGCAUGUGUUAUAACAUUACAUGAAAGACAACUUAAAUGAAUUUUGCUAUGCUGGUACUUUUUUUUACUCAGUUGAAAAAUGAGAAUCGUAAUGUAUUCACGACAUUCUGAAAUUACUGUCUUUUAGAUGACGAAUCGAACUACACUGCAUACUCUCGAGUUAGUGAAAAUUUCGGAAUACAUAAGUUAUAGUCACACGCGCAUGCAUAAAGAGCAACAAAUGGCAACUUCGUACAAGUACUUCUAAUACAACACAUUCAAACAUAAUGUACAAAAAUCUAGGAUCAUCCAUGUGCGCCUGCAUACCGGGUUUAUAUAACAUUUAUUGCAACCAACAACAAUGACAUGAACGAGCUAGGCAAGCAAAAGUGUAAGUCAAUUUGGACCUGUUUAUACAAAAAUCAUCGCAACCAAUAACAUAAAUUUUGUUCAUACAACGUUCACCCCUUUCAAGAACCCUACGUGGACUCCAAGUUGAGAUGUAGUCACCAUGGAGGGGGUUGAGGCAUCUUCAUCCACUGUCUUCUGCACGUCAAUAACCAAAAACGAUAUAAUGAGAUCAAAGUUAUCAUGGAAGUUCAUUUGGUAAACGCAAAUAUACAGCACUUUCGACAAGAACACUCAACUGAACAAAUAACAACACGAUGGUGCUCUUACAUACAUAAAGAAGAAAAAACAUCAGCAAACUAGAAAGUACUCCACAAGACUGCAAUGCUGAAGUUUAAUGAAGUCCAUAAUCCAAAGCAAAGAGUGGAAGCUAAAAUUUAAACUUCUAACCUUUGUUACUCAAAAUUGGAGUGCUAAAUUUGACAAGCCUCAUGAAAUAUAUAGAUACAUUCCCAGUCAACUUAUUGUCACUUCAAUGCAACAUUAACCCACGAAACUCAUCUCGUUCGGUCAUCCAACCAAAUUCAGAAGCAAUCAACAACACAACAUCCAAUCCAGUGAUUUUCAUAUACAAAUACGAAUACUUAGAAAAUUGUCUUCCAAGAACCAUACAAUUGAAAUGGAACUACGAAUACCAAUAAUAGCCCAAACAUACUAAAGAAACAAAGCAUAAUCAAUUCUUAAAAAACUUCAACUAUAUCAGAUAUUAAGGAUAAAGGAAGUAAAUCUAGGUUAAAGAAAAAUACUCACCUACAUGGUAGCAUAGGACGGUAGGGGAUUGAAGUCGGAUACCGGCAGCGACAGAGGCGGAACAAAAUUUCUCACCUUCGUUCGCAGAAAGCUGAGAUUUUCAGCAUUUUCUCCCCACAAUAUCAAAUAUCAAAACACCGAAAGAGUGAUAAAUACUCAGGGUUAGAAUCAACAAUAUAAAGGCCGACUACCGGCUUCGUGAUGGAUUAGAGGAGACUAGGUUUUCUCUGAGGGGAAAAUGGAAAACGGGAAUGGGAAGGGUCAGGGAAAAGGGAGGGACCUUAUACUUGUUUUAUAAUUUCUACACAUUUUUAAAAUUAACUUUUGUAUACGGGUUGGGUUGGUCGGCUUCGGGUUGGGUUAAAGGGAUAACCCAUAACCCAACCUAACCAGACAGAAAAUGGGGUAAAUAUAACCGAACCCAAUCCAUUUAAGCAAAAAUGGACCCAAACCCCUUCGAAAUGCUCCUUUACAGAUAUUCGACUGAACGUGACAAAAUCCGACAAUAUAAUGUUUCAAUUGAAUGUAAUAUGAACAGUUCGGAGAAUAUUCGUAUAAUAUUCGACAUGCUCCUUUAGAAUAACGUAAACGUACGACUACGCAAAGACAAACUCCACACAAACUUGAAAUAAUGUCAAAUUACUCCAAAAAUAC
This 1799-nucleotide long non-coding RNA is filed under the name Olea europaea (common olive). RNAcentral describes it as "long non-coding RNA (OEUR_LNC008347)". The record is from RNAcentral. Lineage: Eukaryota; Viridiplantae; Streptophyta; Magnoliopsida; Lamiales; Oleaceae.